AUGAGUAUGGUAUAGUGGUUUAAGUGUCGGACUACAACUCUGGAGAUCAGGGUUCAAUUCCCCACUUGGCCAUG
Molecule: non-coding RNA, 74 nt
Organism: Phrynosoma platyrhinos (Desert horned lizard)
Lineage: Eukaryota; Metazoa; Chordata; Lepidosauria; Squamata; Phrynosomatidae
Source: the annotation of a GenBank genome assembly